GACGAACGCUGGCGGCGUGCUUAACACAUGCAAGUCGUACGGUAAGGCCCUUUCGGGGGUACACGAGUGGCGAACGGGUGUGUAACACGUGAGUAACCUGCCCACUACUUUGGGAUAACGCUAGGAAACUGGUGCUAAUACUGGAUAUGUGCUCCUGCUGCAUGGUGGGGGUUGGAAAGCUCCGGCGGUUGUGGAUGGACUCGCGGCCUAUCAGCUUGUUGGUGGGGUAGUGGCCUACCAAGGGGGCGACGGGUAGCCGGCCUGAGAGGGUGACCGGCCACAUUGGGACUGAGAUACGGCCCAGACUCCUACGGGAGGCAGCAGUGGGGAAUAUUGCACAAUGGGCGCAAGCCUGAUGCAGCAACGCCGCGUGCGGGAUAACGGCCUUCGGGUUGUAAACCGCUUUCAGCAGGGACGAAGCUUUUUGUGACGGUACCUGCAGAAGAAGCACCGGCUAACUACGUG
RNAcentral lists this ribosomal RNA (465 nucleotides) under uncultured bacterium. RNAcentral describes it as "partial 16S ribosomal RNA". It matches the Rfam family "Bacterial small subunit ribosomal RNA", at positions 28 to 507 of the family's 1533-position model. The record is from RNAcentral.